RNAcentral lists this transfer RNA (77 nucleotides) under Burkholderiales bacterium. Its description in RNAcentral is "tRNA-Arg". It matches the Rfam family "tRNA". From Rfam's summary of the family: Transfer RNA (tRNA) molecules are approximately 80 nucleotides in length. Lineage: Bacteria; Pseudomonadati; Pseudomonadota; Betaproteobacteria; Burkholderiales. The record is from RNAcentral. RNAcentral also lists the same sequence under 1 other name.
GCGCCCAUAGCUCAGCUGGAUAGAGUGUUGGUUUCCGAAGCCAAAGGUCGCAGGUUCGACUCCUGCUGGGCGCGCCA